AGUGUCUUAGAUUAACAAAAAUUUAUCUUGUGACAAGUGAGACAUACAACAGAAAUCUGCUUUACUGCCUCUGUAUGGCAACAGAGAAUGCAAGAUUGCCACAGCUGUUAUGAUUUACAUAGGUACUUAUCUUUGAUUUUCUAUCCACGCCUUUCACUGUCUCCAGCAGCAGGACUCAAGGAAGUGUGUGAAAUUUAGAGUGCUUAGGGGAAACCAUUUUUUCAAAAAGCAAACUCCCUGCACUCACUGGAGCAAAGCUGUGGCUCUACUGUAUCAUACCGAAACUGUUGUCUUGACUGAAAUGUAUUGUAUAUACAUUUUUAUGUGCAUAAAAAUGGAAUGAGAGAAAGGUUUUGGUGCUUCCAUAAGCACUUCUAUAAGCAUUUGCUUCUCUGCAUAAUGUUGGGAAAAGAAAUCAGAGCAAACUCCAAGUGGGGAAGUGACCAAAUGGCAAAGACAAGAAAAAGACAAGAGACAAGUCAAGAUUAAGACACUUCACAAGACUAUUAAAACAGACCUGAGAGUUGGACUAGAUAAUCUGGGUUGAACUGGAUGGUCUUUAAAGGUCUCUUCUGAUGCAAACCAUUCAAUGACCCUAUUAUAAAAACUUAUCAACUUAUUUAUACUUAAAAACCAGGAACUAGAGAGGAAAAAUAUUACUGUGAUAAGUACUGUCCAGAAACAUGAAGAUAUUUAAA
Hirundo rustica (Barn swallow) is the source of this 698-nucleotide long non-coding RNA. RefSeq lists it as uncharacterized. The transcript is spliced from 3 exons. Lineage: Eukaryota; Metazoa; Chordata; Aves; Passeriformes; Hirundinidae. The record is from RefSeq and is a predicted model, not a curated record.